Molecule: ribosomal RNA, 118 nt
Filed under: Microcebus murinus (gray mouse lemur)
Lineage: Eukaryota; Metazoa; Chordata; Mammalia; Primates; Cheirogaleidae
Source: RNAcentral
AUCUGUGGCCAUGCCACCCUGAAGGUGCUUGAUCUCAUCUGAUCUCAGAAGCUAAGCAGGGUUGGGCCUGGUUAGUACUUGGAUAGGGGACCCGUGGGAAUAUCAGGUACUAUAGGCU